This 253-nucleotide ribosomal RNA is filed under the name uncultured bacterium. RNAcentral describes it as "partial 16S ribosomal RNA". It matches the Rfam family "Bacterial small subunit ribosomal RNA", at positions 524 to 776 of the family's 1533-position model. The record is from RNAcentral.
UACGUAGGCAGCAAGCGUUGUUCGGAGUUACUGGGCGUAAAGGGUGUGUAGGCGGUUGUUUAAGUUUGGUGUGAAAUCUCCCGCUCAACUGGGAGGGUGCGCCGAAUACUGAAUGACUAGAGUGCGGGAGAGGAAAGUGGAAUUCCUGGUGUAGCGGUGAAAUGCGUAGAUAUCAGGAGGAACACCGGUGGUGUAGACGGCUUUCUGGACCGUAAACUGACGCUGAAACACGAAAGCGUGGGUAGCAAACAGG